RNAcentral lists this ribosomal RNA (2216 nucleotides) under Staphylococcus aureus 1111205429. RNAcentral's name for it is "bacterial LSU rRNA". It matches the Rfam family "Bacterial large subunit ribosomal RNA", at positions 706 to 2925 of the family's 2925-position model. Lineage: Bacteria; Bacillati; Bacillota; Bacilli; Caryophanales; Staphylococcaceae. The record is from RNAcentral.
GUCGUAGACCCGAAACCAGGUGAUCUACCCUUGGUCAGGUUGAAGUUCAGGUAACACUGAAUGGAGGACCGAACCGACUUACGUUGAAAAGUGAGCGGAUGAACUGAGGGUAGCGGAGAAAUUCCAAUCGAACCUGGAGAUAGCUGGUUCUCUCCGAAAUAGCUUUAGGGCUAGCCUCAAGUGAUGAUUAUUGGAGGUAGAGCACUGUUUGGACGAGGGGCCCCUCUCGGGUUACCGAAUUCAGACAAACUCCGAAUGCCAAUUAAUUUAACUUGGGAGUCAGAACAUGGGUGAUAAGGUCCGUGUUCGAAAGGGAAACAGCCCAGACCACCAGCUAAGGUCCCAAAAUAUAUGUUAAGUGGAAAAGGAUGUGGCGUUGCCCAGACAACUAGGAUGUUGGCUUAGAAGCAGCCAUCAUUUAAAGAGUGCGUAAUAGCUCACUAGUCGAGUGACACUGCGCCGAAAAUGUACCGGGGCUAAACAUAUUACCGAAGCUGUGGAUUGUCCUUUGGACAAUGGUAGGAGAGCGUUCUAAGGGCGUUGAAGCAUGAUCGUAAGGACAUGUGGAGCGCUUAGAAGUGAGAAUGCCGGUGUGAGUAGCGAAAGACGGGUGAGAAUCCCGUCCACCGAUUGACUAAGGUUUCCAGAGGAAGGCUCGUCCGCUCUGGGUUAGUCGGGUCCUAAGCUGAGGCCGACAGGCGUAGGCGAUGGAUAACAGGUUGAUAUUCCUGUACCACCUAUAAUCGUUUUAAUCGAUGGGGGGACGCAGUAGGAUAGGCGAAGCGUGCGAUUGGAUUGCACGUCUAAGCAGUAAGGCUGAGUAUUAGGCAAAUCCGGUACUCAUUAAGGCUGAGCUGUGAUGGGGAGAAGACAUUGUGUCUUCGAGUCGUUGAUUUCACACUGCCGAGAAAAGCCUCUAGAUAGAAAAUAGGUGCCCGUACCGCAAACCGACACAGGUAGUCAAGAUGAGAAUUCUAAGGUGAGCGAGCGAACUCUCGUUAAGGAACUCGGCAAAAUGACCCCGUAACUUCGGGAGAAGGGGUGCUCUUUAGGGUUAACGCCCAGAAGAGCCGCAGUGAAUAGGCCCAAGCGACUGUUUAUCAAAAACACAGGUCUCUGCUAAACCGUAAGGUGAUGUAUAGGGGCUGACGCCUGCCCGGUGCUGGAAGGUUAAGAGGAGUGGUUAGCUUCUGCGAAGCUACGAAUCGAAGCCCCAGUAAACGGCGGCCGUAACUUUAACGGUCCUAAGGUAGCGAAAUUCCUUGUCGGGUAAGUUCCGACCCGCACGAAAGGCGUAACGAUUUGGGCACUGUCUCAACGAGAGACUCGGUGAAAUCAUAGUACCUGUGAAGAUGCAGGUUACCCGCGACAGGACGGAAAGACCCCGUGGAGCUUUACUGUAGCCUGAUAUUGAAAUUCGGCACAGCUUGUACAGGAUAGGUAGGAGCCUUUGAAACGUGAGCGCUAGCUUACGUGGAGGCGCUGGUGGGAUACUACCCUAGCUGUGUUGGCUUUCUAACCCGCACCACUUAUCGUGGUGGGAGACAGUGUCAGGCGGGCAGUUUGACUGGGGCGGUCGCCUCCUAAAAGGUAACGGAGGCGCUCAAAGGUUCCCUCAGAAUGGUUGGAAAUCAUUCAUAGAGUGUAAAGGCAUAAGGGAGCUUGACUGCGAGACCUACAAGUCGAGCAGGGUCGAAAGACGGACUUAGUGAUCCGGUGGUUCCGCAUGGAAGGGCCAUCGCUCAACGGAUAAAAGCUACCCCGGGGAUAACAGGCUUAUCUCCCCCAAGAGUUCACAUCGACGGGGAGGUUUGGCACCUCGAUGUCGGCUCAUCGCAUCCUGGGGCUGUAGUCGGUCCCAAGGGUUGGGCUGUUCGCCCAUUAAAGCGGUACGCGAGCUGGGUUCAGAACGUCGUGAGACAGUUCGGUCCCUAUCCGUCGUGGGCGUAGGAAAUUUGAGAGGAGCUGUCCUUAGUACGAGAGGACCGGGAUGGACAUACCUCUGGUGUACCAGUUGUCGUGCCAACGGCAUAGCUGGGUAGCUAUGUGUGGACGGGAUAAGUGCUGAAAGCAUCUAAGCAUGAAGCCCCCCUCAAGAUGAGAUUUCCCAACUUCGGUUAUAAGAUCCCUCAAAGAUGAUGAGGUUAAUAGGUUCGAGGUGGAAGCAUGGUGACAUGUGGAGCUGACGAAUACUAAUCGAUCGAAGACUUAAUCAA